GAUGAACGCUGGCGGCGUGCCUAAUACAUGCAAGUCGAGCGAAAGGACGCGAAGCUUGCUUCUCUGAUGUUAGCGGCGGACGGGUGAGAAACACGUGGAUAACCUACCUAUAAGACUGGGAUAACUUCGGGAAACCGGCGCUAAUCCCGGAGAAUAUUUUGAACCGCAUGGGUCAAAAGUAAAAGACGGUGUUGCUGUCACUUAUAGAGGGAUCCGAGCUGCAUUAGCUAGUUGGUAAGGUAAAGGCUUACGAAGGCAACGAUGCAUAGGCGACCGCAGAGGCUGAUCGGCGACACUGGAACUGGGCCGCGGACCAUACGCCUGCGAGAGGCAGCAGUCGGGUAUCUGCCGCAAUAGGCGAGAACCUUACGGAGCAACCCCGCGUGUGUGGUGGAGGUCUCCGGAUCGUAAUACUCUGUUACUAGGGAUGAACAUAUUUGUCAGUAGCUGUGCACAUCGUGACGGUACCUGGUCAGAAAGCCCCGGCUAACUACGUG
This 497-nucleotide ribosomal RNA is filed under the name uncultured bacterium. RNAcentral's name for it is "partial 16S ribosomal RNA". It matches the Rfam family "Bacterial small subunit ribosomal RNA", at positions 28 to 507 of the family's 1533-position model. The record is from RNAcentral.